RNAcentral lists this ribosomal RNA (597 nucleotides) under Paraconiothyrium brasiliense. RNAcentral's name for it is "eukaryotic LSU rRNA". The stretch from base 249 to 402 matches the Rfam family "5.8S ribosomal RNA". Lineage: Eukaryota; Fungi; Ascomycota; Dothideomycetes; Pleosporales; Didymosphaeriaceae. The record is from RNAcentral.
CGUAACAAGGUUUCCGUAGGUGAACCUGCGGAAGGAUCAUUAUCUAUUCCAUGAGGUGCGGUCGCGGCCCUCGGCGGGAGCAACAGCUACCGUCGGGCGGUAGAGGUAACACUUUCACGCGCCGCAUGUCUGAAUCCUUUUUUUACGAGCACCUUUCGUUCUCCUUCGGCGGGGCAACCUGCCGUUGGAACCUAUCAAAACCUUUUUUUGCAUCUAGCAUUACCUGUUCUGAUACAAACAAUCGUUACAACUUUCAACAAUGGAUCUCUUGGCUCUGGCAUCGAUGAAGAACGCAGCGAAAUGCGAUAAGUAGUGUGAAUUGCAGAAUUCAGUGAAUCAUCGAAUCUUUGAACGCACAUUGCGCCCCUUGGUAUUCCAUGGGGCAUGCCUGUUCGAGCGUCAUCUACACCCUCAAGCUCUGCUUGGUGUUGGGCGUCUGUCCCGCCUCUGCGCGCGGACUCGCCCCAAAUUCAUUGGCAGCGGUCCUUGCCUCCUCUCGCGCAGCACAUUGCGCUUCUCGAGGUGCGCGGCCCGCGUCCACGAAGCAACAUUACCGUCUUUGACCUCGGAUCAGGUAGGGAUACCCGCUGAACUUAA